Molecule: ribosomal RNA, 253 nt
Filed under: uncultured bacterium
Lineage: Bacteria
Description: partial 16S ribosomal RNA
Rfam family: Bacterial small subunit ribosomal RNA
Source: RNAcentral
GACGGGGGAUGCAAGCGUUAUCCGGAAUCACUGGGCGUAAAGCGUCUGUAGGUGGUGAUGCCAGUCACUGGUGCAAAACUCUGGCUCAACCGGAGGAAAGCCAGUGAAACUGCAUGACUAGAGUGUGUGAGAGGCAGAAGGAAUUCCUUGAGUAGCGGUGAAAUGCGUAGAUACAGGGAAGAACACCGGAGGCGAAAGCGUUCUACUGGAACACAACUGACACUGAGAGACGAAAGCUAGGGGAGCGAAUGGG